GGAGAGAUGGCCGAGUCGGCUGAAGGCGGUCGCCUGCUAAGCGAUUAUACGGUCUUAAAACCCGUAUCCAGGGUUCGAAUCCCUGUCUCUCCG
This 93-nucleotide transfer RNA is filed under the name Desulfofarcimen acetoxidans DSM 771. RNAcentral's name for it is "Desulfotomaculum acetoxidans DSM 771 tRNA". It matches the Rfam family "tRNA". From Rfam's summary of the family: Transfer RNA (tRNA) molecules are approximately 80 nucleotides in length. Their secondary structure includes four short double-helical elements and three loops (D, anti-codon, and T loops). Further hydrogen bonds mediate the characteristic L-shaped molecular structure. tRNAs have two regions of fundamental functional importance: the anti-codon, which is responsible for specific mRNA codon recognition, and the 3' end, to which the tRNAs corresponding amino acid is attached (by aminoacyl-tRNA synthetases). tRNAs cope with the degeneracy of the genetic code in two manners: having more than one tRNA (with a specific anti-codon) for a particular amino acid; and 'wobble' base-pairing, i.e. permitting non-standard base-pairing at the 3rd anti-codon position. Lineage: Bacteria; Bacillati; Bacillota; Clostridia; Eubacteriales; Peptococcaceae. The record is from Rfam by way of RNAcentral.